RNAcentral lists this long non-coding RNA (629 nucleotides) under Pogona vitticeps (central bearded dragon). Its description in RNAcentral is "lncRNA (ENSPVIG00000006304.1)". Lineage: Eukaryota; Metazoa; Chordata; Lepidosauria; Squamata; Agamidae. The record is from RNAcentral.
GCUUCUUUCUCAGAUAGUUGGUGCAGCGCUGAAAGACAGCCCGAAUCCUUCCAGCACACAAGGAACCAAACAUGAAGACUUUUCCUUCGCUUUUCUGGGUUGUGCUCUUGCUCCUCUGGACGUCGACCCCAGGGCACGGCCGUGAGAGAGACACUCAGAAGUGUUAUGAAGACAAAGGAAUGUGUCACUCCACACUCUGUCCUGCUCAGAAGAUCGAGAAGGGAACCUGCAAUGGUGGCUCUCAACUCUGCUGCGUUGACUGCCCUUCUCACUUCCUCUCCUAUGAAGGCACUGGGGCUUACUGUCCUCCCACACUUAGCUUCUGGACCUCUGUCAAAAUUCUUCUUAGUCUCUGCUGGGGGAAAAGCUUCGAAAUGCUGUGAGAAGGCUCAGAAUUUGAAAGAGGCUGGAUUGAGAACUGAGGCUUUCAAGGAAGAAAAGAUCCACUUUCAAACGAAGGAGAUGAUCUCACCGAGCGUGCUCGGGAGCACCAUGGUCCAGCUGGAAUACUAGUUUUCUCAUCAGACAGCUUGGAAAGUCAUGUUUGCCAACUUGCAAAAUAGACUGUCCCUAAUUAGGAGUAGACAAUAUGUAAAUUUGUAAAUAAAGUUGUUGUUAUUGUUUAGUCA